GCUCUCAAAAGUGCAUAUACUAUUGUCCCCCUGGUACUGUGUGCCAUGAGAAGAAAUUUUGUGAAAAUAGUAUCUGACCAUUUUUGAAAGCAUUUUGGGUUUAUCACAGAUUCAUUUUGCUUAGAAGAAAGGUUCCUCAGCAAUGACAAUUAUAAGUUCUGAAGAGAAUGCAUUAAGCAGCUAUCUGAAGACUAUGAAGAGUAAACAGACUCACUGGAGAAGACCAUUAUUUUGAAGUACAACCAAACUGGCAGAGCCUUGAGGAUACAGAUAAUGCCCCAUGAAGAUUGCCAGUCGCAACCAAAGAAGCCAACGAAUCCCGAGACUCCUUCCUCUCAUCUGAGAUCAGAUAGGGUGAGAGCUCCGUGAAUCCCCCAAUAGGUAGGGACAGCUCUACACCCCCGCGCAGCAGGAAGCAGACACAGAAGAGAAGACCUCCUAUCCCUCAACUUCCCAUAGAGAUUUUUAUGAGGAUCACAUCUCUCAAGGGGGAAAACAAGGCAGGCAGUUAGAGAUAGACAUUGGGUCUCUGCAUUCCUACACAACCCACAGAAUGCGACCGCCCAAAAGACCUCUACUCUAUGCCCAGAACUUCCCCUUCUCGCUAUAAUUAUCUACCUCUAUGAGGAAACAAAUUCGUACAAAAUACCCAACUGGAUUAGACCAGUCACUCACACCUGCGCAGUAAAGGCCACAAUGACAUUCAUUUCACCUGGGCCUCAUUAUACCAUCAUCAUA
Rhinolophus ferrumequinum (greater horseshoe bat) is the source of this 738-nucleotide long non-coding RNA. RefSeq lists it as uncharacterized. The transcript is spliced from 3 exons. NCBI's taxonomy places the organism in Eukaryota, Metazoa, Chordata, Mammalia, Chiroptera, Rhinolophidae. The record is from RefSeq and is a predicted model, not a curated record.